GACGAACGCUGGCGGCGUGCUUAACACAUGCAAGUCGAACGGUGAAGCGCCUUCCUUUUUGGUGGGUGUGGAUGAGUGGCGAACGGGUGAGUAACACGUGAGUAACCUGCCCCCUUCUUCUGGAUAACCGCAUGAAAGUGUGGCUAAUACGGGAUAUUCUGGGUCUGUCGCAUGAUGGGUCUGGGAAAGAUAUUGUUUCGGUGGGGGAUGGGCUCGCGGCCUAUCAGCUUGUUGGUGGGGUGAUGGCCUACCAAGGCGGUGACGGGUAGCCGGCCUGAGAGGGUGGACGGUCACACGGGGACGGAGACACGGCCCAGACUCCUACGGGAGGCAGCAGUGGGGAAUAUUGCACGAUGGGCGCAAGGCUGAUGCAGCGACGCCGCGUGAGGGAUGGAGGCCUGCGGGUUGUGAACCUCUUUCGCCAGUGAAGCAGGCCUGCCUCGUUUGUGGGUGGGUUGACGGUAGCUGGAUAAGAAGCGCCGGCUAACUACGUG
Molecule: ribosomal RNA, 494 nt
Filed under: uncultured bacterium
Lineage: Bacteria
Description: partial 16S ribosomal RNA
Rfam family: Bacterial small subunit ribosomal RNA
Source: RNAcentral